AGUGGACGCUGGCGGUAGGCCUAACACAUGCAAGUCGAACGGCAGCACAGUAAGAGCUUGCUCUUACGGGUGGCGAGUGGCGGACGGGUGAGGAAUACAUCGGAAUCUACUUUUUCGUGGGGGAUAACGUAGGGAAACUUACGCUAAUACCGCAUACGACCUACGGGUGAAAGCAGGGGAUAUUCGGACCUUGCGCGAUUGAAUGAGCCGAUGUCGGAUUAGCUAGUUGGCGGGGUAAAGGCCCACCAAGGCGACGAUCCGUAGCUGGUCUGAGAGGAUGAUCAGCCACACUGGAACUGAGACACGGUCCAGACUCCUACGGGAGGCAGCAGUGGGGAAUAUUGGACAAUGGGCGCAAGCCUGAUCCAGCCAUACCGCGUGGGUGAAGAAGGCCUUCGGGUUGUAAAGCCCUUUUGUUGGGAAAGAAAAGCAGCAGGUUAAUACCCCGCUGUUCUGACGGUACCCAAAGAAUAAGCACCGGCUAACUUCGUG
This 492-nucleotide ribosomal RNA is filed under the name uncultured bacterium. RNAcentral describes it as "partial 16S ribosomal RNA". It matches the Rfam family "Bacterial small subunit ribosomal RNA", at positions 29 to 507 of the family's 1533-position model. The record is from RNAcentral.